Leopardus geoffroyi (Geoffroy's cat) is the source of this 1165-nucleotide long non-coding RNA. RefSeq lists it as uncharacterized. The transcript has 2 exons. The record is from RefSeq and is a predicted model, not a curated record. NCBI's taxonomy places the organism in Eukaryota, Metazoa, Chordata, Mammalia, Carnivora, Felidae.
UGCCCUGCUGCCCUUCACCCCUUCUGCACCUGCACUCAGGUGCACAACGUUUUCUCAUAUAAUUUUUGCCAACUUUACAGGGACGUACGAUUACGUCCAUCGUACAGACAGAGAGGCUAAAGCUUUGAGGUGCGGACUCUCUGAUCCACUCAGUAACUACUGAGAACCACACGUGCCAGGACAACCCUAGGCCCUGGGGAAAUUGCGGUGAGACAGGCGGAUGCCACCCUGCCCUGACCUCUGGAUGCUCUCGCUGUCGCCGAGGGUGACAGAUGAUAAACCAGGCUGGAUGCCUUCUCUGGAUCGAAGUAUGCAGAUGUCACAGCGCAGCUGGGGCAGGAAGGUGACGUCACUCCCCUGCUGAGAGCUGGCAUAAAAGGAGGAACUUGUCCAGGGUGUGAUGUGUGUGACCCAUGGCUGGUGGGCAGACGUGCCUGUCCACUCCCAGGUCUGCAGAGGCAGCUCUUGGUCAGUGAAUGAGCCAGGAACCACAUCCCUGCAUGAUGUCAUUGGGAAAACCCCACUAAUGAUAAGUUCCGUGCCAGAUCCUGAGAGGACAGCACGUUGCAUCUUACUAAACUGUGCCAACACCCCUGUGAAAUCGAUGCAGUGAUUGUCCCAGUUUGCAGACAGAGAGACGGGGACUCAGAGACGUGAGUAUCUCGUGCAGAUGAGAAGCUGUCCCCGCUAUGCACACUUUACCCGUUUAAUCAGCGCCAUUCAGGGCGUCGCACAUCUUAAGCAGGAAGUUGUUUCGGUUUUGACAAACGCAUAAACUCUAAUAAACACCGGCAAGUCCGCCACAGCCACGUCCUACCCCCGCACACCGGUCAGCCCAGCAUCUGCCAACUACCGAUCCACUUCCUAUACUAACGGGCUCCAGUGUCAGAGACAUGAAACCCAACAGCAUGAACGCUGCUGUGUCUUCCAUGUCUGCAAACUUCUUUUGCUCAGCGUGACGUUGCUGAAAUUCAUGUUCCUGCUUCUAUCGGUGACCCUUUCUUGCUGCCGACCACCACUCAUUGUCCAAACGUUCCCCUCACAGACAUCUGGCUUGUUCCCUGGCCCCACUCCUACCAACGAGCCCGCUGUGACCAUUCACGUGGUGCAGUCUUUUUCCGAGUAUGGAUUUUUCAUUCUCUUUGGUAAAUAUCUAGAAACAGAA